GGCCUGCGCGUCUACUUGACGGGAUCCGCGCUUACACCGCGGAGGUCGUCGGUUCGAGACCGGCCGGGCCCA
This 72-nucleotide transfer RNA is filed under the name Cellulomonadaceae bacterium. RNAcentral describes it as "tRNA-Val". Lineage: Bacteria; Bacillati; Actinomycetota; Actinomycetes; Micrococcales; Cellulomonadaceae. The record is from RNAcentral.